UGUCGUAUAUUUUUUUAGAUUUUAUUAUUUUGGUGGUUAGGGAGAAAAAAAAUGGUAUUUGGGAAUAAAUUGUUACUUACUUGUAGAUGUUUUAAAUGUUUAAAAAGAAAUAAAAGAAUGAUGGGUAAAAAAUAAAUAAAUUAUUUGAUCAAAGUUUUCUUUUCCAAUAGCUUGGUAUUUCGAAUUAUUUCCAAAGAGAAAUCAUUUUUAUAUCUCCUAUAAAAUAUAAUAAAAACUUGCAAGCUGAGGUAGGGGAUGUGNUUUUUUUUUUUUUUUUUUGGGUCUCUUUUUGUAAUUUGGACAUGAAUAAGGAAAGAGGCCAAAAUGUAAAUUGAUUUAUGUGGUACGCAAUCAACUACCUUAGGGGCGAAUUGACUCGUUGUAAUUAUAAAUACAGUAUAGCUAAAAAUAUUAUUAUUCAAUUUUUUACAUUUAUAAAAUUUUAUAAUUUUAUUUAUGAAGUUGUGGCAUUAUCUCUUAUGAACGAAAAAAAAUUGUUUAAGAAAUUAUUAGAAAGGUAAACAAAUCUUUUAUUUAAAGUUAGUCUCUUCAGCUGAUAUAGUUGGAAGUACUAGCAAUUUGAGUAUAUUUCCAUCUAUUACAAUUGAGCUUCUUCGUGUAUUUUUAACUAUAGUAGUUAAAUUUAAAUACAUUAAAUUAAUUUUAUUUAUAUUUAUAGCUGUAAAGUAGGUGCAAUUACAUACAAUUAAACUGUCCUUUAGCUUAAACUAGUAUAGGAUCCGCGCUUCGCAGCUGGUAGAUAGUAUUUCAGUCAAUUAAUAUAUAUAAUUUUUAAAAUUUUAAAAUUGAAAAAACUUGUAAUGAAGAAUACAAAACAAACUUAUAUAUCCUUUUAUAUAUUAUAAAAACUAUUUUUUUAAUAAUAAUUUUAACUUCAAGUAUUUGUAGAGUUAAAGUAUCGUAAUAACUUUACUUAAAAAUUCAAUCAAACUUAAUAAUUUUAAUAGCUAUUUCAUAAAUAAAUUUUUAUUUUAAAAAUUAAAAUUGGAGAAAUUAUUCUAAACUACCAAAUACAUAAGAUCGUCUUUACCUUACUAAAAUUUAUUAGAAAAAAAAUGUUAUUAUUUGCACAUGGUAUAUUAAUACACACCAUAUAUCGUAAUUUAUAUUAGAAAACUAAUUUCUAAUAUCAAAAUAUAAUUAAAUAAUCUAGGCUAUGAGGUCUAAUAAUUUAAAUAUAUUUGCUGAAUUAAAUUUUAAAUUCACUAUUAGAGAUUUGAAGCAUGUGGUGUAUGUAAUUAUAUACAUUUAGUGUAGAGAAUGGACUUUUUUCGAAACUAACCCUGUGAAAUUACAUAUUUGCCAAACUAACCCUGUGAAAAUUUUAUUUGUGAAACUAACCUUCCUCUCGCCACCUCAGCGGCCAGAUCAGCAUUUCUCAUAAAGACGGUGAUUCGUUCACCGUCUAUAAGUAUAGCUCUUGAAGACGGUAAAUGGUUAACCGUCUUAUUCAGACGGUAAAUCGUUAACCGUCUUCUCUAGGCGUAGCAUGCCGCCUUUUCAGCAAUUCCCCGCGCACCCUACCACCUUCUCAGCAAUUCCCCGCGUGGCACAAGGUGCCUAUAUAAGACGGUUAACUGUUUACCGUCUUCUAAAAGACGGUAAACAAUUUACCGUCUUAUCUCCCUAGCCAGCCUANUGUAGUAUUACACGAAAGACGGUGAACGAGUCACCGUCUUUGUGAUAUAUGCUGAUGUGGCAGCUGAGGUGGCGAGAGGAGGGUUAGUUUCACAAAUAAAAUUUUCACAGGGUUAGUUUGGCAAAUAUGAAAUUUCACAGGGUUAGUUUCAAAAAAAGAGAAUACUUAACUAUGGACCGAGCUCUUUGAAAAGCUCUUUUUCAUAGUUCUAGAAAAGAGACCAGAAAUUUUUACUUGCACAUGAUAUAUACUAAUAUUUCAUGUAUCGUAAGUAUAUUAAAUGAUUGAUAAAAAUAUCAAAUAGUUAUUAUCAUAAAAUAAAAUAUGAUAGAAUAUAAUAUAAUAUAAAAUAUAAAAUAUUUUAAAAUUUUAUUAUAUUAUAGAAAUUUAUUUUUUAUUCAUAUUUUAUAUCUGGUCUACGGCGCAAUUGACGCGUCGAAAAUUUGUAUUGAGUGUGUGACAUGUUCUUAUUGGCUAGGGACUAUAAUGCAGGAUCGACUCCUCCACAAGCUACCUUUAUGAUGUGGCUGAACCGUCAAAUUAUAUAUUCUAUAUAAUAUGGCAGAAGUUAUAUAGGUAGAAAACUACAUGUCGCGCGUUCACAUCAAAUGCCUUUUUUGGGCCUCUUUUAGUUCUAUUAUUUCUUUGGUAUUUUUCAUAAAUAAAAUUUUAUUAUGGUGUUAGAUGUACCCUUGCACUGUCACUGUCGUCGUUCAUGACCAUGUCCAUGAUCGUAUUUUUUGCCAUAGUCUCACCUCCACAAUCUGUGCCAUAUCUAAAUUGGCGUUGGCGAAGGUGUGCACGAGGUACGAGAGAGGAGCACGACAUCAAUGUAGGAGGCGGUGGAGGGAAGAGGAGAGAGAAGAGAAAGCAGAAGGAAAAAGGAGAAGAUGGAACGACGAGGAGGGAGACGAACAGGAAAGAAAAAAUAAGAGAACAAAAAAAGAAAGGGACAAAAAGGAAUAAAAAUAUUUUGAUUAAUUUUUAAAACAUCGAGUUGAAUCUGUAAAAUUAAAAAAAGUAGCUUCUUUUUGCAAAAAAUAUAAAGCCGGUAAAUUUUUUAUGCAAAAAAUCUUUAUUGCAACUAAGUCUUAUAAUUCAAUUUAGUUAAUUAAAUAUUGACUUGCUACUAAUAUGGAAGCAACGCCAUAGAAUUAUACUUGACGAAACAAUAAUAAUUAUAAUGCCACUUUACUUUCCAAUCAGCGAACCCGUCAACAUUUAGGGGUCGUUUGAUUCGAUAUAGUUACAUAAAUAGUGUGGUUGGAAAUACAUGUAGUUGCAAAUGCCGCAGUUAUAACUAUACCUAGUCUUUUUGGUUUUAUACAGUUGCAAUUAUUACAGUUACAUUUUUCUGUUUGGCAAGCUGCAAUUGAAAUUUGUAUUUAUAAAUUCUAUCAAUUUUUAGAUAGAAAUAUGAAAUUAUCUCUUCUAAAUAUAAUAUAAUCAUGAAAUCUUUUAAUUAUUAAUUAAGACUUUUAUAUCUAUAUAUAAUUUAUAUAUUAUAAAAUUAUGUAUGAAUUUAAUGAAUUUUAAAUGCAAACAUAUUAUAGAUUUGACCAAAAUAAAAACAUUAUUGAACUAGCAGACUGAUAAAAAAGGAACCGUAUAAAAUAAAUUUAUUGAACCCUAGCAGAUUUCAUAAAUAGGUAUUUCUUGAAAAAAGAAGUUAAAAAAAAAAAAAGAAAAAAGCGUAUGAAAAAAAAUCAUACUUCAUUUAUUUUUUUAAUGGGUGAGCCGACUCCGGCCCAACUGUUGCAGUUGGGCCUUCUCGUGCAGAUGUAAUUUUAGCAGUAGACGCUAACUACACCAAACCAAAUAAAAAUUUAAUAGAUGCACGCAUUUUCAAAAUGCAUGCAAUCAAACAGCUCCUUAGUCAUUUAAAUUGGAUUGUAAAAUUUAAUUGUGAUAAUUUUUAAAGUUUGAAUAAAAAAUUAUAACAAAUUAAAAUUUGACGUCGAAUGAGUCACCCGCCUAAUAGCUUGAGGACCAAAACUUUUAUUUAGCCAAAGUCCAACAAGCCCAAACAAUAAACUCAAAGCCCAAAUCAAAUGGGCCAAAGUAGCCCAUUGUAAAUCCAAGUGUUUUUAGGUAAUAAAAAAAUAAAAAAAUAAAAAAGAAACAAUUGCCAACGGAACUAUUAUUUAAAAGUUAUUAAAUUUAGAAAAAUGUUCAACUUAACAAAUAAGAAAACCUUCAAGAAAACUAACAAAAGUUGAGGGUGUAAAUUGAGGAAAUAAAGUUGAGAAGUAUACUUCAAAAUUUUGUACAAUUGAGGGGGCCUCAGUACAUUUUUUUGCUCUUUCUAUUUUGCCCUUUUGAUUUGAUUUAUAAUUUAGUGCGCGUUUGGCUUAUAUUCUUGAAAGUGAUUUUGGAGCCAAAAAUUAAUUUUCUUCCAAUAAAGUAUACGAAAAUUUUUUUAAGAAAAACCUAAUUCUGAUUUUAACGAUCAGUUUUCUGAAUUUUAGAGGCCUAAAAACAGAAGCAUUUAAAAACAACAUUUACUCAAAAUAAAUUCUGCAAAAAAUUUAUUAAUUUUGCAUUUUUGUGAAAUCGGAGUUUUUUAUUUAAAAAAAAAAAUUUACAGAUUUGCGUCGAAUCUUUUAGAAACUGACCAAAAUAUUUUUAUUCUCUCCUCUCGUGCUUGCAUGUCAUAAGCAUGCUUCUCCCCUACCUCGUCUAUGUCUCUACAUCUCCGCUGUUGUCGACGGUGACGACGUAAGCUCGAAUGCGACACAUACUGUGGAGGUGAGGGCGUGAGUAGCGGCGGGACGCAGUGGGGUGCCGGAGCUAGAGGAGGAGGAGGAGAACGGAAAAGCAAAAAGGCGAAUAUAGAGGAAAGGAACUUCAAUGUUCUCUUUCUCCGUUUUUUUUUUUUAAUAUUUUUUAUUCUUUCUCCGUUAAAAAGAAUAAAAUAAAAUAUUAUACUAUUUGACCAUAUGCUAUGCUAAUUAAUUAGUGAACUGACCGUGAAAUAGUGUAAUAAAUUGUUUCGAUUUCAACUACUUAGGGUAAAAUACACUUUUGGUCUUCAAACUAUGAGUCGCAUGAUAUUUUGGUAUUCAAAAUUUAAUUUAUUAUAAUUUUUUAUACCAAAAUUUAAAUUUAUCACAACUAAAUCGUACAAUUCAAUUUGGUUGGUUGAAUAUUGACAAAUUAUUUACGUACAUAUGAUGUAGCACAAUCCAAUUUUGAGUUUCGGAUUUUUAGUCGGAUUUGAUUUUGAAUAUGAAUUCAAAACACAUUGGGUUUGGAUUUUGAUUUGGAUUUUGAGUUUGAUGGUCAGGUUUGGAUUCGAAUAUUUUAAUAUUCGUCUCGAAUCUAACACGGUCAAAAUUAAUCAGCAUGCAAGGUACAUAAUUUUCUUUUCACGAGUAAUUUUCAAAAGAAUAUUUGAGAAUAAUCAUGAUAUUAAUCCUAAAUAUUUUCAUAGUUUUUUAAGGAAUCGGUUAAAAUCCAAUCAAAUCACCAUAUGAAAAAAAAAAAAAAUAAAAGUUCAACUUUGAAAUUACCCCUUUGAUUUUUUUUAGUGGAUUUUUUUAAUAAAUUUUUCAAUCCACCAUGUGGGCAAAUCAUUUAUUAAAGUUUUCUCCACAGUAUUAGUAGAAUUUUAAUUAGUAUGUGAUUAGUUUUUACUGUGAAACUCCAUUUCCUUUUCUUAAAUAUCAUAUGAAGAUCUUAAUUAACUUCGGCCAAUUUGCAUAAAAAAUUCAUUAGUUUUCAGCUUUUGUAAAAAUGGGCCGCCAAUUUGGAUUUUGCAAAUUCGGAUCGAAUUUUCAAAAAACUGACCAAAAUACGCUCAUUCUUUUUUCUCUCUUCCCUUUCUUUUCUCUAGUUGUUUUUUUUUCUCUCUCUCUGAAGAAGGUGGUGGAGGUGGAGACAGAGGCGGAGACGGAGGCGGCCUGCCUUGUCUCUGUCCUUCGCCCGCGCACCAUCGCUCCGCCCUCUCCCUCGCCUGCGCACCAUCGCUCCGCCUUCCUCGCCUCCGAUCCCGCCGAGGCCCGCACCUCAACUCUCGUUUUUUUUUUUUUUUCAGCCCUCCAGGACGCCUCCUCACCAGCCUCCGAUGCUAUUUACAAUAGUAAAGUGAGCAGCACAACGAUACUCUUCCUCUCACUUUUUUUUCUCAUCGAUUUCUUUUUUUUUUUUUUUCUUUCAAUCCCCUUUACCACCUUCGCGACCCUCUACGCCGGUAAUGAGGACAGCGCCUAUCCACCUCCUCUGCCUUCGCCAGCAGAGGCACCGACAACGAUGCCGAAGAAAGAGGACUCGAAGUAAAUGCAGAUAAGAGCGGAGCCAAAGAAAAAAUAUGUAUAAAAUAAAAAAAUAAAUAGAAUAAGAAUAAAAUAUAAAAAAAUAUUUUUUGUACAAAACAAAAUAAAGAAUCAGAGAAAAAAAAAGAAGAUGAUGAAUAUACACUAUUUCAGAAAACUGUUGCACUAUUUCAAAGAAACGUUGCCUUAUAUUUUUAGAAAAUAUACCCUCUUUGAGAGAACAAAAAAUACUUUCUGAAUAAAAAUUGUACUCUUUGAACGAAAGUUACAUUUUUUGAAUGAAAAUUAUACUAUUUGGCCGAAAAUUGCACUAUUUCAAUAGAAAUAGAAAGAGGAGAAGGAGAAGAAAUAGAUAAUUUUUAUCCAAAUAGUGCACUUUUGGUUCAAAUAGUGCAAUUUUAAUUCAAAAAAUACAGCUUGCAUGUAAAAAAUAUAUUUUUUUCUCAAUGAGUAUAAAUUUUCUCUAAAACAGUGCAACGUCUUCCUAAAGCAGUGCAACUUUCUCCUAGAGUAGUGCAACAUUCUUCUUAGUGCAAAUUCAUUAUCUUAUUCUUUUCUAUUUGAUUUUUCAUUUUUCUCGUAGAAAUUUUUUUUUAUAUUUUUUAUUUUCUGCAUUAUUUUUUUUCGUCUCCGCUCUCACCUGCAUUUGCUCCGAAUCAUCCUUCUCCGGCACUAGCGUUGGUGCCUGCGACAGCGAAGGUGAAAGAGAGGAUGUGGCCCUGUUCUCGUUAUCGUCGUGGAGGGUUGCGGAGGCAGUAGAGGGGGAUGAAGAAAAAAAAAAACGAGAGAAAAAAAGAAGAGGAAGAGUACAUGACGCUGCCAUCUUUAGUAUUGUAAAGAGUUGGGAAAGCAGUGGAGGAGCGUUGGAGAGAAAAAAAAAAGAAAAAAUAAUCGAGACGCGGCCUCGAUAGGGUCGGAGACGAGAAAGGUGAAGAGAGGGUGCGCGGGCGAGGGCCUGCGAGAUAAGCGAGGUGAGCCACCUCCGCUUCCGCCGCCCUCUUCGGAGAGAGAAAAAAAAAAGAAUGAGAGAAAAAAAAAAAAAAAAGAGGAGAAAAAAAAAGAGGGAGAGAAAAGGGAAUAAGGAUAUCCGACUCGAAUCUGUAAAAUCUAAAAAAAUGACCUAUCUUGCAAAAGCUGAAAAUUAAUAAUUUUUUUAUGAAAAUUGGCCACUAACUUCAAAACACCUUUUUCUUUCCCAAAAAUUUAAACAAAAAAUUCCAAAAAAUUCUAGAACAAGAUGAGUUUGAAUAUCUUUUUAUCUUCAAUUGAAUAUCUUCUAAAAUUAAGGCUAACUUACAAAAAAAGCUCUUUGUCCAUUUUAGUCGUCGUUUCAAGUUAUCAGCAUCAGCAUAAAAAAUUACAUUAAUUAUCAUUCUAUAUUUCAAAAUCGAUUUUGAAAUAUAGUUAGUGAAUUUGGUUGCGAAGCUUCGCCAAAGUACAUUGGUAUAUCUCAUAAUUUUAUAUCUCUAUAUUUAUCUAAUUUGUAACUUAAAAACUAGAUUGAAAAAUUAGAUAAAAGAGAUUCUUAUUUUGUUAAUACUAUUAUGAUAGUUUUUGAGCAACUUUAUUCAAUUUAUAUGAUUACAAUUCAUUAGAUGUAAUUAAUUCUAUCUGUAAAUUUGUUUCUUAUUUCAUUUGGUUCGGGUAUAAAUAAGAACUAUCUAUUUUAGGGAUAUAUAUAAGUUCAGGUAUAAACCUGAAACAAAUCAAUUUUGCGUUUGAAUAAAAAUUAAGUUGUUUAUGAAAUAAGAAAAAUAACGUUUGCAUAGAUAAGAUAGAAUAAGAAUAAUAGUGGAUAGUUAUAAAUAAAAAAAAAUAAUAUUGCCCUUUAUAUUAUAUUUGAAUUUAAAANAAAAAAAAAAAAAAAAGAGGAGAAAAAAAAAGAGGGAGAGAAAAGGGAAUAAGGAUAUCCGACUCGAAUCUGUAAAAUCUAAAAAAAUGACCUAUCUUGCAAAAGCUGAAAAUUAAUAAUUUUUUUAUGAAAAUUGGCCACUAACUUCAAAACACCUUUUUCUUUCCCAAAAAUUUAAACAAAAAAUUCCAAAAAAUUCUAGAACAAGAUGAGUUUGAAUAUCUUUUUAUCUUCAAUUGAAUAUCUUCUAAAAUUAAGGCUAACUUACAAAAAAAGCUCUUUGUCCAUUUUAGUCGUCGUUUCAAGUUAUCAGCAUCAGCAUAAAAAAUUACAUUAAUUAUCAUUCUAUAUUUCAAAAUCGAUUUUGAAAUAUAGUUAGUGAAUUUGGUUGCGAAGCUUCGCCAAAGUACAUUGGUAUAUCUCAUAAUUUUAUAUCUCUAUAUUUAUCUAAUUUGUAACUUAAAAACUAGAUUGAAAAAUUAGAUAAAAGAGAUUCUUAUUUUGUUAAUACUAUUAUGAUAGUUUUUGAGCAACUUUAUUCAAUUUAUAUGAUUACAAUUCAUUAGAUGUAAUUAAUUCUAUCUGUAAAUUUGUUUCUUAUUUCAUUUGGUUCGGGUAUAAGUAAGAACUAUCUAUUUUAGGGAUAUAUAUAAGUUCAGGUAUAAACCUGAAACAAAUCAAUUUUGCGUUUGAAUAAAAAUUAAGUUGUUUAUGAAAUAAGAAAAAUAACGUUUGCAUAGAUAAGAUAGAAUAAGAAUAAUAGUGGAUAGUUAUAAAUAAAAAAAAAUAAUAUUGCCCUUUAUAUUAUAUUUGAAUUUAAAAUUUAAAAUUUUAUAUUUAAAUUAAAUUUAAAUAUAUAAUUUUAAAUUUUAAAAUUUUAAAUUUUAAAUCUCAAAUUCAAAAAUUCAAAGUUAUAAAUUUUAAAUUUUAAAAAUUUAAAAUAUCUAUUAAAAUUUAAAAUUUAAAAUAUAAAAUAAUAAAAUUUUAAUUUGAAGAUUACAAAUUAUAAAUUUUUAAAAUUAAAUUUUUAAAAAUUAAAUAGGGUUGCGAACAGUUUUUUCACCCCUAUUCCCACACAAGCGGUGGGAUCUCCCAACCAAACGGUAUCAUAAAGUUUUCGACUGAAUUCAAUAAUAAUUCUAAAAUUUUGAAUUUAUUUUAGAGGUAAUUUUUAAUAAAAUUUUGAAUUUAUUUGAGAGGUAAUUUUUAAUGCUAGGAAUAAUCGACACCGGAGAUUUUUUUACUUUAGCGUAAAAUAGAGGCUUUAAAAAUUAUAUUUACUCCUACUUAGUUUGAUCUAUAAUUAAUCUAUAUUUAAUUUGAAAGAGUAUAAAUAAUUUCUAAAAGAAUGUUAAAAUGCAUGAAUUAUUAUUUAUAGAGAAUGAAUUAUUCUUGUACAGUUUACGGUCAAUGUCACUUAUGUCAACACGUGGCUCUUUGUAGGUCAUAUAUUUUCCAAUUAAAAAAUAAUUUAGGGAGGUAUUAAAUUUACACAAAUACCGGAACGGCUGCGUUUGGUUUUAGAACUAAAUUUUAGAGAACAAUUUUUAUUAUUUUCGAGAAUAAGGAAUAUUCCGGUACAAGACAAAAAAAUUGUAAAUUUGUGUUUGGAUAUAUUCGGGAAUAUUCUAGAGGAUAUUUUUAAUAGCAUUUGGAUAUAAACUGUAGAACAAUAUCUAAAAAUNAUAUUUUUAAAAAUAAAAUAAUUAAUUAUAUAUAUAAUACUUAAUAUAAAAUAAAAUAAUUAAAUAUUAAUAUAUAAAUGAUAAAACUUAAUAAAAUAAAUAAUACAUCAAAUUUCAUUAAUUUAUAUUAUACAAUAAAAUUUAAGUAUAAAUAUAUUAUCAUAAAAAUAAUAUUUAUAUUAAUAUAUUUAUUUAUAUAUCUAUUUAUCCAAUAAAAUAAAGAGAAGAAUAAAAUUGCACUCAUUUUUUCUAGGAACAAUUUUUAACGGGAAAACAAUUCAAAACAAUCCACUUUGAUCGAAACAAUCUGUUCUGUCCUUUUCUUUUAUCGUUUGGUUAUAAAUUGGGGAUAUCUUGGAUUGUUCUGGAAUAUCCCGGUACCAAACGCAGUCUCUCUUAGUCUAAAUAAGUAAGAGUACAUAAAAGCUUGUUAUUUGUUGCCAAAAAUAUUCCACAUUCGAAACAUUUGUUUUAGGCUUGGUUUUUUUUAAAAAAAAAUUAAGCAACACAAUAUGUUGUAUUUUAGAGAGUUUUAAGAUAUUCAAAAUGCAAUUAUUUAUUCAUGAGAUAGGAAACCAUGAAUAGGUCAUAAAAUAUUAAGAAAAAGCCUGUUAGGAGGAUUAAAUCAUUCAAAUUAAACUUUUUUAACCGAUAUUUUCGAUAUUCUCCGAUUCAAUUUUCUUAAAGAUUUUUGGUUUUGGUCCAUUUUGGUUUGAUUUUGCCAAAUCAAAUUUUGGUUAUGUCGUCGAAUCCAUUUUUUUCUCUAAAAACUUAUUUGAUUGAUUUUUUUUUUUUUUUGAAGGAAUAGUAACAUGCUAUUGUUUCGUUUAUUUUUUCUGAAAAAAAUCCAGUUAAAAAUAUAAGACAAUUAGGUUUUGAAAUCGAGACAUCAGAUACCAGCUAUUAAACCAUUUGUCACAUGCGCUGGAAACGGUCGUGUAACAAUCAAAAUGUCAAUACUACUUUUAAAACAAAAUAUAAAUAAAAUUUAGGUAAACUUCAAAUUAAAAAAAUUUCACUAAUUUCAUUUUGAUACUUCAACAGACCCUCAAUGCAAUUCAAUAGUACACCAUGUUAGGGUACCAUUUUCUUAGGCAAUACAAUAAACCCUAAUGGACAUUUAUUUAUUUACUAAUAUAUCCAAAUCACAAAAGUGAUACCAAACUCUUUAUUUAUUUAUUAUUAUUAUUUUUUAUUAAACACCAUUCCCACGUGAACCCAAUGUACGUGCCCCAUUUUAGUGAUUUAUUUUAACCUCAUAAGUAAGUAAUUGCUCCCCCGAACAAGUUAAAAUGGGUAAAUACUAAAUAGUAAAAUAGUAAAUUAAAAGCAAAAAAUAAAGUUGGCGGGGUGAGGGAGUGACAAGAAAUUAAGGAGAGUAGCGAGGGGCGAAAAGGAAUUAGGGAGAGUAGCGAGGGGCGUUUUGUUUCUUUCUCCUUUUAUCCUCUUCGUUUUCUCGCCAAGUGGUGGGAAACAGAGAGAGAGAGAGAGAGGGAGAGGGGGGGAGAAGAGCUCUGAGGAGGCGGCAAUGGUGGAGCCAUUGGGAGAGGCGGCGGAGGCGUGCUUCGGCGACGACGUGUUCCUGCUCGACCUCGUCGACGCGAACGAGCGGCGCGCCCCGCGCGGCGGCGGCGGCGGCGGCGGCGGAGGAGCAAUGUUCCUCGACAUCUUCGACCACGCCGACGAGGGACUCGCGGUGCGUGACCCCUUAUCAGAAACCUAGUUUAUACAGAAAAAGAAAAGAAAAAGUCCGAUUUUUGAUGGCGUGGGAGCGUAAAAAUCCGAUUUUUAUGGUUUUUUUUUGUGUGUAGGAGGGAGGAGGAGGAGGAGGAGGAGGAGGGGGCGAGGAGGAGUUGGAGUGGCUCGCGAACAAGGACGCGUUCCCGGCGCUGGAGACGUCGUUCGACGCGGCGGAUGCGCCGGUGCUGGGGGCUUGGGCGUCGGCGCCUGCGGCUGCGGCGGCGGCGGCGGCGAGGGUGGCGGUGAGGCCGAGGAGCAAGGGGCGGGCGGCGGCGGCGGAGUGGCGAGGGGGGCGGCGGCGGCGGCGGUCCGGCGGGUCCGCGCGGCGGUGCAGGCACUGCGGCGGCGGAGGAGACCCCGCAGUGGCGGCGGGCCGGAGGGGCCGAAGACCGCUCGCAACGCGUGCGGCGUCCGGUUCAAGUCCGGGCGCCUUCGCCCGGAGUACGCCCCGCGCGCAGCCCCACCUUCGUCCCCGCCCUCCACUCCAACUCCCACCGCCGCAUCCUCGAGAUGCGCCGCCUCCACUCCCCCGCCGCCGCCGCCGCGCAGCGCGGCCGACGCGGCCGCGCCGCGGCAGCGCGCGCAGGCGCCGCUCCGCCCCUUCCUAAUCCCAUCUGUUAAUGGCGUCUCGUUUCCAUUUCCAUUCCUUUUUUUCUUCUUUUUUUUUCCAUUUGGGGAAAUGUUUUUACUUUUACUUUUACUUUUACUUUCACUCUUCAGGUAGGGACAACUAGUGAUUCUUUGUAAGAGUAGGAAGAUAAAAAAAAAAAAACAAAAAUAACAUCAUGGUUUUAUUUUAUUGCAUCAUGGUUUUAAUUUAUUGUUAAUUGUUAAUUCCUUCUUUUCAUAAGAUGACAUGUUUAGUUGGCUAAAAGAAAAGUAGGGAAGGUAAUAUUCUGGCGUAUUAUCAGUUGUUUAAUUUGUGAAGGUAAAUAUAAGAACCGUAUGUUUGGUUUAUAAUUGAAAUGGAAUUGGAUUGUAUUUUAUAAUUGAAAUGGAAUUUGAUUGUAUUGGCAUGGGUAAUGAAACAACGAAUUAUUCAAAAUAUUUGAUGUAUUAUUAUUGGAACAGAAAUCAGAAUGAAUAUUUAGAAUUUUGAAAGAAAAUUUUGGUUAAGAAAGAGAAGAAUGAUGAAGAGAGAGGAUGCGAGGUGUUUGGCAGAGAAGGCUUUAAGUUGUUUACUUUAGAAUAGGCUAAUUUUGAAUUCAAAACAUGAAUUUGACUAUUUAUAUUUCAGAGUGGAUAAGAAAUCAGAAUUAGAUUUCUCUAAAACAAAUAACAACUAUCGAAAAUUAGAGCUCGAUUUUUAUAGAAUAAACAACAACUAUCGAAAUCAAUUCCAUAGAUAAAAUCAGUUAUAAUUAAAUCUCAUUUUUUUUUACUUGGAUUUAAAAUAUUUUAAAGUCAUCAAAAGUGGAAAGCUUAUCUAAAAUGUUAUAUUUGGUUUUAACAUUAAUUUUUGAAUUUAAAGUUAAAUUUUAACUUAAAUUUGAAUUGAAUUCAUGAAUUGACAUCAUGAAUUUAAUUUCAUAUUCUCAACUUUAUUUGUAAAUUUAAACUCAAAUUUAUAAAUUUAUAUUUUAAAUUAAAUUUUAUUUAAAUCUGAAUUCUAGUUUUAAAAUUUAAACAAUUUAAUUACACUUUACUACUAUAUUGUACUAUUUUAUUUUUUCAAAAACACCAUUACAUUAUUAUAUUUAUCAAUCUCUACAUUGUAUUAUAAUUUUUUUCUAUCUUGUAACUACUUUCUUUUCUAAUAAAUAUCACUAAAUUAUUUUUUUUUCUCAGGAAUCUCUGCAUUAU
Molecule: long non-coding RNA, 13014 nt
Filed under: Ananas comosus (pineapple)
Lineage: Eukaryota; Viridiplantae; Streptophyta; Magnoliopsida; Poales; Bromeliaceae
Description: long non-coding RNA (ACOM_LNC013029)
Source: RNAcentral